This 546-nucleotide ribosomal RNA is filed under the name Parengyodontium album. Its description in RNAcentral is "partial large subunit ribosomal RNA". It matches the Rfam family "Eukaryotic large subunit ribosomal RNA", at positions 82 to 651 of the family's 3401-position model. Lineage: Eukaryota; Fungi; Ascomycota; Sordariomycetes; Hypocreales; Cordycipitaceae. The record is from RNAcentral.
ACUAGCGGCGAGUGAAGCGGCAACAGCUCAAAUUUGAAAUCUGGUCCCCAGGGCCCGAGUUGUAAUUUGUAGAGGAUGCUUUUGGCGAGGCGCCUUCCGAGUUCCCUGGAACGGGACGCCACAGAGGGUGAGAGCCCCGUCUGGUCGGAUGCCAAGCCUAUGUAAAGCUCCUUCGACGAGUCGAGUAGUUUGGGAAUGCUGCUCAAAAUGGGAGGUAUAUGUCUUCUAAAGCUAAAUACCGGCCAGAGACCGAUAGCGCACAAGUAGAGUGAUCGAAAGAUGAAAAGCACUUUGAAAAGAGGGUUAAAAAGUACGUGAAAUUGUUGAAAGGGAAGCGCCUAUGACCAGACUUGGGCCCGGUGAAUCAUCCAGCGUUCUCGCUGGUGCACUUUGCCGGGCACAGGCCAGCAUCAGUUUGGCGCGGGGGACAAAGGCUUCGGGAAUGUGGCUCCCCUCGGGGAGUGUUAUAGCCCGUUGCGCAAUACCCUGCGCCGGACUGAGGUACGCGCUCCGCAAGGAUGCUGGCGUAAUGGUCAUCACGACUAC